CUUGCGCACAUAGCGGCCUUUUGGGGAAUGGAGAUAAUGGAGAGUACAUGCUAUCUAGAAAGUUAUUAAUAGCACAACGAGGGGUCCUGAAGCCUCUUCCCCCACUAGGCAGUCUGCCCCUUUUACCCUCUGAGACCUUCCUCUGCUGCACAGCGACUCUCUCCAUCAGCUCUCUUUCCUCAUCACUGCAGCUCAGAUUCCUCGCUGCUCGCCUCAACGCUUGGUGCCAUGUCUGACAACGAGGAGGUGGUGGAGGAGUAUGAGGAGGAGGUGGAAGAAGAGGAGACUACUGAAGCAGGGGAGCAGGCGGUAGAGGAGGAG
Gasterosteus aculeatus aculeatus (three-spined stickleback) is the source of this 321-nucleotide non-coding RNA. NCBI's taxonomy places the organism in Eukaryota, Metazoa, Chordata, Actinopteri, Perciformes, Gasterosteidae. The record is from RefSeq and is a predicted model, not a curated record.